CUACGGGUGGCUGCAGUGAGGAAUAUUGCACAAUGGAGGAAACUCUGAUGCAGCAACGCCGCGUGGAGGAUGACGCAUUUCGGUGUGUAAACUCCUUUUAUAUGUCAAGAAAAUGACGGUAGCAUAUGAAUAAGCUCCGGCUAACUCCGUGCCUGCAGCCGCGGUAAUACGGAGGGAGCAAGCGUUACUCGGAAUCACUGGGCGUAAAGGACGCGUAGGCGGGAUAGAAAGUCAGGUGUGAAAUCCUAUGGCUCAACCAUAGAACUGCACUUGAAACUUCUAACCUAGAGUAUGGGAGGGGAAGAUGGAAUUAGUGGUGUAGGGGUAAAAUCCGUAGAUAUCACUAGGAAUACCAAAAGCGAAGGCGAUCUUCUGGAACAAUACUGACGCUAAGGCGUGAAAGCGUGGGGAGCAAACAGGAUUAGAUACCCUGGUAGUC
RNAcentral lists this ribosomal RNA (439 nucleotides) under uncultured bacterium. RNAcentral describes it as "partial 16S ribosomal RNA". It matches the Rfam family "Bacterial small subunit ribosomal RNA", at positions 339 to 795 of the family's 1533-position model. The record is from RNAcentral.